Long non-coding RNA from Mercenaria mercenaria, 2456 nucleotides. RefSeq lists it as uncharacterized. The transcript has 5 exons. The record is from RefSeq and is a predicted model, not a curated record. Lineage: Eukaryota; Metazoa; Mollusca; Bivalvia; Venerida; Veneridae.
CUGCAAGAACAGUUCUAGGGUCUUUUGAUGUUGAAUCUCUGUAUUCUAAUAUACCGCAUGUGUUGGGACUGGAGGCAUUACACUACUGGUUAGAUCUAUAUCCAGAAGAAAUACCUAAACGUUUUGAUAAGGAAUUCAUCACGGAAGCAGCAAAAUUAAUACAUAUGAAUAAAACAUUUUACUUUAGCGGAAAAUACUAAAGGCACAUAGAAGGUACGGCCAUGGGGACAAAAUUUGCACCAGUCUAUGCUACACUAAUUAUUGGCUAUCUUAAAAACAAAUUAUAUAAGGACGUUUCUUCUAAAUUUGGUGAAGAAUUAAAAAUCUAUCUCAAAAAUCACUGGAAACGAUUUUUGGAUGACAUCUUCAUUUUAUGAACACGUUCUACUUAAGACCUAGAAAUUCUAGAAAGACUGUUGAACAGUCUCAAUGAAAAUCUAAAAUUUACGAUGGAGAAAAGCAGCACUGAAUUACUUUUCUCGGAUGUUCUUGUGAUAAAAUCAGGCACUUACUAACAAACAGAUGUUUACUAUAAACCAACAGGAAAAAACAAUAUAUCUUAUUUAAAUCUCCCGAAUCGCACAAAAGGGUAUAUUCCGUUUUGUCUUGCAAGAAGGAUGUGUGCUAUAGUUUCAAAUACAUAACAACGUGAUUAUCGACUUUCAGAACUUAGAAGAUAUAUUUUACUUCGCAGUUACCCUUUGACUCUUGUUGAAAAUGGCAUUAGAAUGGCGCUGAGAAUCAGAAAAAAAUGAAUUAAGACAAGUAAAAGAAAGACAUUAUUCUCCAGCAAUUUCAUUCGUAUUGACAAACAAUCCGAGAAAAGCAGGACUUUUUAGCACCAUCAAAAAUAAUAUAGCGAUUUUAAAAGCUGAUGGGAAAAUAAGAGAAAUUAUGGACAAAUACAAUUUAAUUAAGUGUAAAAGACAACCAGCUAAUCUUAAGAAAAUACUAACACGCGCUAAAGGACCAUGUAUGAUAAGGCACAGUUUUAGCCCCCAAAUUUUGAAGAAAAUGAAAUUAAAACUACAUCUCAACGAUAUGAAUUAUUUGAAAGAUAAAGGAUUAAUCUUGCAUUUUAUAAAGAAAAAAUGCAACAGUUUUGCCUAAAAAGUCAUGAUACAUGGUCUAGUUUCAUGCCAUCAACAGAGAUUUUGUACAUUUUUAGACAUUUUCGUGCACUUUAUCACCAAAAUACGAUACGAGCGCAGGGGAGAACAAUUUUAUUUUUUGGAUAUGUUUUGAGGAUUGCAAAAACACGAAGAAUGAUACAUGAGAGAAAAUUGUUCUAAAGUGCGCUCGUAGUAAAUUUUGAACAAAUACGGUAUUUUCGUCGGAAAAUUCUACUCUAAAAAUAGCCAUGUAAAGGGACGAAACUCUUGAUCUCCUUGAAGAGCUUGGCGUAAAGGUAAAUAAAAACAUGUUGUGACGUAAUGCUGAAGUGAUAUCGGUUGAAAAAUGGAUUUUUGUCAAAUUACAGUGAACAAGUUAUUGUGAGAUAGUCUGAUUACUUUGGAGCUGCCAGAUUGUGUAUGAAAUCCUGAACAAAUUAUUUCAACAACUUUUUCAUGAACCACAGAAACUUCACCUUACCAAAUUGUAGGACCAGACAUUGUGAGAAAGUUUGAUUGCAUUCACUGCCAGAGCUAAAGCUAGAAAAGAAACUAAACAACUUCUUCUCAUGAUCUGCUUAAUUGAUCUUCACAUUGAAUUGUCAACCUGUAUGCUACAUUGUAAAAUGACGUUGAGCAAAUAAAGAUACUGCAGUCAGCGUUACAACCUUCAUUAAACAGAAUGAAUUGGUGUUACAGAAAUAGAUAACAUAUGGAGACAAACACUUUCAGGCUACAGAAACUACACUAUGAGACUAUGAAAAUGGCUUAUUUUCAUGAUGGAACUCAUACCACAAAGAAAGAACUUGCUUUAUCUUGUUUCUUAUAACUAGUCCUCAAAGACAUACCCAAGUAAACUACAACAGGAAUGAAAGCAAACAAAGUUGAUUCAGGAUUUAGAAUUGAAUGUUUUUGUGUCAACAGUGUGUGAAAACUGCGGAAAAUAGGAUUUUAAUUUCAAGGAUUUGAUUUAGUAUGUCAAGGAGUGAUUUGUUUUUAAUUCAUCACACAAAUUAUUGACACUGCUCUAAAAUAUAAAUAUGAAGUUUAAAUACAGACUUUCAUACCUAACUAAAAUAAUGUUGAACUCAACAGAAUAAACAAACUACCAUCUGUUGUAUAAUAUAUUAGUUGAUUUAUCAAACUUUGUCAGUUUUGUUACAUUACUUAUCAUUGAUAGAAUCUAUUAUCUAAUAACUCUUUACAGUGUGUCAAGUACUCAUCAUUAUAAGCCAUUUUGAAAUAAUUACAGGACUGAUAUUUUACUGGUAUUAGUUAAAUGUGUUGUUAUUAGACCCCUUAUAUUUGAAAGUGAGUUUUCUUUAUACAUACAGGAUUCUGCUA